This 495-nucleotide ribosomal RNA is filed under the name uncultured bacterium. RNAcentral describes it as "partial 16S ribosomal RNA". It matches the Rfam family "Bacterial small subunit ribosomal RNA", at positions 28 to 507 of the family's 1533-position model. The record is from RNAcentral.
GACGAACGCUGGCGGCGUGCCUAAUACAUGCAAGUAGAACGCUGAAGGAGGAGCUUGCUCUUCUGGAUGAGUUGCGAACGGGUGAGUAACGCGUAGGUAACCUGCCUGGUAGCGGGGGAUAACUAUUGGAAACGAUAGCUAAUACCGCAUAACAGUAGAUGUUGCAUGACAUUUGCUUAAAAGGUGCAAUUGCACCACUACCAGAUGGACCUGCGUUGUAUUAGCUAGUUGGUGGGGUAACGGCUCACCAAGGCGACGAUACAUAGCCGACCUGAGAGGGUGAUCGGCCACACUGGGACUGAGACACGGCCCAGACUCCUACGGGAGGCAGCAGUAGGGAAUCUUCGGCAAUAGACGGAAGUCUGACCGAGCAACGCCGCGUGAGUGAAGAAGGUUUUCGGAUCGUAAAGCUCUGCUGUAAGAGAAGAACGAGUGUGAGAGUGGAAAGUUCACACUGUGACGGUAUCUUACCAGAAAGGGACGGCUAACUACGUG